Molecule: ribosomal RNA, 253 nt
Filed under: uncultured bacterium
Lineage: Bacteria
Description: partial 16S ribosomal RNA
Rfam family: Bacterial small subunit ribosomal RNA
Source: RNAcentral
UACGUAGGGGGCAAGCGUUGUCCGGAUUUAUUGGGCGUAAAGAGCGUGUAGGCGGCCAGGUAGGUGGGUUGUGAAAACUGGAGGCUCAACCUUCAGAGGUCGACCCAAACCCCCUGGCUAGAGUCCGGAAGAGGAGAGUGGAAUUCCUGGUGUAGCGGUGAAAUGCGCAGAUAUCAGGAAGAACACCCGUGGCGAAGGCAGCUCGCUGGGACGUUACUGACGCUGAGACGCGAAAGCGUGGGGAGCAAACAGG